GUCCGCACUGUAAACGAUGAUUACUCGCUGCUGGAAGGUAACUUUCAGUGGCUUAGCGAAAGCGAUAAGUAAUCCACCUGGGGAGUACGCCGGCAACGGUGAAACUCAAAGGAAUUGACGGGGGCCCCGCACAAGCGGAGGAGCAUGUGGUUUAAUUCGAUGAUACGCGAGGAACCUUACCAGGGCUUGAAAGUUAGGGAAUAACUCUGAAAGGAGUUAGUCAGCAAUGACCCGAAACUAGGUGCUGCAUGGCUGUCGU
Molecule: ribosomal RNA, 259 nt
Filed under: uncultured bacterium
Lineage: Bacteria
Description: partial 16S ribosomal RNA
Rfam family: Bacterial small subunit ribosomal RNA
Source: RNAcentral